This 223-nucleotide ribosomal RNA is filed under the name uncultured bacterium. RNAcentral describes it as "partial 16S ribosomal RNA". It matches the Rfam family "Bacterial small subunit ribosomal RNA", at positions 112 to 334 of the family's 1533-position model. The record is from RNAcentral.
AUCACGUGAGAAACCUGCCCCGAAGACCGGGAUAGCCCGGGGAAACCCGGAUUAAUACCGGAUAUUCUCUACAGAUCGCAUGGUCUGCUGAGGAAAUGCCUUUGUGCUUCGGGAUGGUCUCGCGACCUAUCAGCUAGUUGGUGAGGUAAUGGCUCACCAAGGCAACGACGGGUAGCUGGUCUGAGAGGACGAUCAGCCACACUGGGACUGAGACACGGCCCAG